Molecule: ribosomal RNA, 427 nt
Filed under: uncultured bacterium
Lineage: Bacteria
Description: bacterial SSU rRNA
Rfam family: Bacterial small subunit ribosomal RNA
Source: RNAcentral
UGGGGAAUUUUGGACAAUGGACGCAAGUCUGAUCCAGCCACGCCGCGUGAGUGAAGAAGGCCUUCGGGUUGUAAAGCUCUUUCGGCCGGGAAGAAAUCGCAUGGGUUAAUACCCUGUGUGGAUGACGGUACCGGAAUAAGAAGCACCGGCUAACUACGUGCCUGCAGCCGCGGUAAUACGUAGGGUGCGAGCGUUAAUCGGAAUUACUGGGCGUAAAGCGUGCGCAGGCGGUUUAGUAAGACAGGCGUGAAAUCCCCGGGCUCAACCUGGGAACUGCGCUUGUGACUGCUAAGCUAGAGUACGGCAGAGGGGGGUGGAAUUCCACGUGUAGCAGUGAAAUGCGUAGAGAUGUGGAGGAACACCGAUGGCGAAGGCAGCCCCCUGGGCCGAUACUGACGCUCAUGCACGAAAGCGUGGGUAGCAAACA